CUGGUUUUCCCAGCUCUGGCCAGGACAGCCUAUCUGUGCAGGAGGCAUCGCUGGCACCCCGUGGGGACUGAGGACCAAGGGGGAGCUGCUCCCCCAUAUACGGUUCGUACUUCUGCUCUGUGAAGAGAGACAACUGUGCCCUGUCACCUUCACUGAAUUGUGAGGAUAUUUUUAUAAGGCAUCUAUUUCCCAGUUGAGAUAUUCCCUGACAACUUUUAGGAUAUCAUUAUGUUGUCUGCUGGCUCAUCAACUGAGAAGUCAGCUGCCAGUCUUAUUGUUGCUUCUGUAAAGGAAUGUGUUUUUCACAUCUGGCUAUGGCACUUACCCAAGUAGAAACGGGGUUUCGCCGUGUUAGCCAAGAUGGUCUCGAUCUCCUGACCUCGUGAUCCGCCCGCCUUGGCCUCCCAAAGUUCUGAGAUUAUGCAUUCUCUCUUUACAUCACAAUGACCAUGACCUUGGAUAUGGAGUCCACUCAAAAAUAAUCUGAAGUAAUAAACAAAUUCUACAAGGUUGAAGAAUACAAGGAGAUAUGGAAUCACCAAGGAAUACUGAAACAGAAGAACCAAGUAGGAGAGUGUGCAAUUCCCAGUCUCAUACCUCAUUGCAAAACCAAACCAAACAAGGCAUUGGCACAAGAGUAGACAUACAGAUCAAUGGAACAGAACUGAGACCCCAGAAAUAAAACCAAGUGGUCAGCUGACUUUUUGCAAGCUUACCAAGACCAUUGAAUGGGGAAAAAUAUUUUUUUAAUAUACGUUGCAGGGAUAAUUGGAUAUAAACAUCCAAAAGAAUGAAUUUGGAUGCUAUCUUCCAUCAUAUGCAAAAAUAACUGAAAAUGAAUUCAAGGCUAUAACUAUUAACUCAGAAAAAA
Pongo pygmaeus (Bornean orangutan) is the source of this 871-nucleotide long non-coding RNA. RefSeq lists it as uncharacterized. NCBI's taxonomy places the organism in Eukaryota, Metazoa, Chordata, Mammalia, Primates, Hominidae. The transcript is spliced from 5 exons. The record is from RefSeq and is a predicted model, not a curated record.